CCCUCAACUGCCCCUCAUUACCAUAUGAAAGAGGAUGGAAAAUGACUGCGUCAUAUCUGAGUGAUAGCAAUGUUCAGAAGAAUAGCCUUUCUUCAGAUUCUCAUUUCUUGGGCCCAUGUUUUAUAAAGGUCAUGUUUCCCAGUAAGUUCUUUCUUCCCUCAGUGUGGCAAUUCUGUUGCUGUAUUAUGUAUAUUCUUUUUCUGCAAGCAAGUCAGGGCACAUUACUGAGAACACAUAAGAAUGAGCUUGGUCUAUGGGGAAGAACUACAAGAAAAGGCUCUUUUCUUUCCAAAAUGUAUGUGUUAUAUAGCCUACCUAGUAUUCCCUUGCCAGCUCACAGAAAUAGUGGUCCUUAAAUGGCUACCAUCCCAUGUUUUCUAUUACAUUAGAGACAAAACUGCUGUUCACCUUCAUUCAUGGAAGGGAGGAAAUAUCUACAAAGCGGAAGGAGCUCCUGUCUAAUGGACUAUCAAUUUCCUCUAAUAUAGAUUGGAUAGAUGGAUAAUGAAUGGAUAAAUAAUCAGACUUGGAACCAUCACAUGACUCCAGGA
Molecule: long non-coding RNA, 551 nt
Organism: Cygnus olor (mute swan)
Lineage: Eukaryota; Metazoa; Chordata; Aves; Anseriformes; Anatidae
Exons: 5
Source: RefSeq, a predicted model, not a curated record